Molecule: ribosomal RNA, 802 nt
Filed under: uncultured bacterium
Lineage: Bacteria
Description: bacterial SSU rRNA
Rfam family: Bacterial small subunit ribosomal RNA
Source: RNAcentral
GAAUUCGCCCUUAGAGUUUGAUCCUGGCUCAGGACGAACGCUGGCGGCGUGCCUAACACAUGCAAGUCGAACGGAGUUGAAAGGAGCUUGCUUUUUUCAACUCAGUGGCGGACGGGUGAGUAACGCGUGAGCAACCUGCCCUUCAGAGGGGGAUAGCGUCUGGAAACGGACGGUAAUACCGCAUAACGUACAAAGGCCGCAUGACCAUUGUACCAAAACUGAGGUGCUGAAGGAUGGGCUCGCGUUGGAUUAGAUAGUUGGUGGGGUAACGGCCUACCAAGUCGACGAUCCAUAGCCGGACUGAGAGGUUGAACGGCCACAUUGGGACUGAGACACGGCCCAGACUCCUACGGGAGGCAGCAGUGGGGAAUAUUGCACAAUGGGGGAAACCCUGAUGCAGCAACGCCGCGUGAAGGAAGACGGUUUUCGGAUUGUAAACUUCUGUUCUUAGUGAAGAUAGUGACGGUAGCUAAGGAGCAAGCCACGGCUAACUACGUGCCAGCAGCCGCGGUAAUACGUAGGUGGCAAGCGUUGUCCGGAAUUACUGGGUGUAAAGGGAGCGCAGGCGGGGAGCCAAGUCAGCUGUGAAAACUACAGGCUUAACUUGUAGACUGCAGUUGAAACUGGUUUUCUUGAGUGAAGUAGAGGUUGGCGGAAUUCCGAGUGUAGCGGUGAAAUGCGUAGAUAUUCGGAGGAACACCGGUGGCGAAGGCGGCCAACUGGGCUUUAACUGACGCUGAGGCUCGAAAGUGUGGGGAGCAAACAGGAUUAGAUACCCUGGUAGUCCACACUGUAAACGAUG